AGAACGAACGCUGGCGGCAUGCCUAACACAUGCAAGUCGAACGCUCUUGGGGCUUCGGUCUCAGGGGAGUGGCGCACGGGUGAGUAGCGCGUGGGAACCUGCCCUGUUGUGGGGGAUAACCGAGGGAAACUUCGGCUAAUACCGCAUAAGCCGGUUGUCUUGAAGGAGAUGGCCGGGAAAGAUUUAUCGCGACAGGAGGGGCCCGCGUCGGAUUAGCUAGUUGGUGGGGUAACGGCCCACCAAGGCGGUGAUCCGUAGCUGGUCUGAGAGGAUGAUCAGCCACACUGGGACUGAGACACGGCCCAGACUCCUACGGGAGGCAGCAGUGGGGAAUAUUGGACAAUGGGCGCAAGCCUGAUCCAGCAAUGCCGCGUGAGUGAUGAAGGCCUUAGGGUUGUAAAGCUCUUUCGCCCGCGACGAUGAUGACGGUAGCGGGAGAAGAAGCCCGGCUAACUCUGUGCCAGCAGCCGCGGU
This 474-nucleotide ribosomal RNA is filed under the name uncultured bacterium. RNAcentral describes it as "SSU rRNA". It matches the Rfam family "Bacterial small subunit ribosomal RNA", at positions 26 to 521 of the family's 1533-position model. The record is from RNAcentral.